This 534-nucleotide long non-coding RNA is filed under the name Anser cygnoides (Swan goose). RNAcentral describes it as "lncRNA (ENSACDG00005003901.1)". The record is from RNAcentral. Lineage: Eukaryota; Metazoa; Chordata; Aves; Anseriformes; Anatidae.
GCAUCAGUACAAAGUUCUUGGUGUGACCUGUUUUCUUUUCCUCUGACAGGCAACCUGUUGCUCCUCUGGAAAUCAGGAAAUUUAAAAAAACACGUUUUCAAAACUGGGAACUGGGUUACUUGGUAGAGAAGAACACACAGUUCAAGACAUUGCCGCUGCUGCAGGAGAGACAACAGAACUUCUAGAGAAUAUUCUUGCUUUUCCAGGAUCAUAUGUGGUGGACAUGGCUGACAAUGUAGCGUCUCUAUGAGAGAAUCUCCAGACGUCUAUGAGAGGAAAACAGCACUGUUAUUUCCAGUUAUAUUCACAGAUGGAUAGUCUGUGGUCUCCUGCUCUGUGCUGAGGGGCACAGCGAAAGACAGAGCCCCCCUGAUAACUGAGGAUAACUGAGGCACUGAUCAAGACAGAUUAAGGAAGAAGAACCUGAAUUACACAUUUCCUCUGAAAUGGGAUGUUACCAGGCGGUUAAUCUGAGCAGUAUUUAUACUUAAGCAUCUCAAACAGACAUCUUAUUUAUACAUUGCUCUGAAGGCA